GCGUCUGGGAUCACUUUAAAGUUACCUGCCUGUGCACCUGGCCCAUGAGGGGAGAGAAGGAGUUCACCGUGUGUCCUCAGCUUCCAGCACCUUGAUUAGCGCGUUGCCCGGGGACACGCCGGUGACCCGAACCACAGGGCCCCCAGAUGCAAAUACCCCUGGGAGAAGCAACAGAAUCUCACCAAGAAUAAUUUCAUUCAGUCUUUUCUGUAAAGCCGACUGAGCAAAGUCAAGAAUUCUGCAUUUCUGAAGUACUGUUCUAAUGCUUCCUCCGUGAGUGAGUCGGCAUGAAAUCAGCUUGGAAGGUACAGAUGGAUGGCUGUCCCUGGCAGCUCUCUCUGACCAUGUGGGCUCCUUUCACUGGGCACAACUUGGAGUCAAUUGCUUGCAAUUUUGUAGAUGAAGAAGAGAAAGCAAAAAGGACAUUGGGAUCUUACAUGACCAGGCUAAAAGGAGGCACCUACCUUUUGCCUGUAUUCAAUCUGUCAGAAGUCUGUGGUGUGACCAACCUGACU
Molecule: long non-coding RNA, 515 nt
Organism: Mustela erminea (ermine)
Lineage: Eukaryota; Metazoa; Chordata; Mammalia; Carnivora; Mustelidae
Exons: 4
Source: RefSeq, a predicted model, not a curated record